RNAcentral lists this ribosomal RNA (392 nucleotides) under uncultured bacterium. RNAcentral describes it as "partial 16S ribosomal RNA". It matches the Rfam family "Bacterial small subunit ribosomal RNA", at positions 523 to 918 of the family's 1533-position model. The record is from RNAcentral.
AUACGGAGGAUCCGAGCGUUAUCCGGAUUUAUUGGGUUUAAAGGGUGCGCAGGCGGCCAUUUAAGUCAGCGGUUAAAUCGUGGGGCUCAACCCCAUUCUGCCGUUGAUACUGGUUUCCUUGAGUACGGUAUAGGUGGGCGGAAUUCGUGGUGUAGCGGUGAAAUGCUUAGAUAUCACGAAGAACUCCGAUCGCGAAGGCAGCUCACCGGGCCGGAACUGACACUGAUGCUCGAAAGUGCGGGUAUCAAACAGGAUUAGAUACCCUGGUAGUCCGCACAGUAAACGAUGAAUACUCGCUGUUUGCGAUACACUGUAAGCGGCCAAGCGAAAGCGUUAAGUAUUCCACCUGGGGAGUACGCCGGCAACGGUGAAACUCAAAUGAAUUGGCGGGG